UUACAAAUAAUGGACUCGCACCAAUUCCAAGAAUAUCAAAAAUUCCCGUGCUCUCUACACCAACUUGUA
This 69-nucleotide transfer RNA is filed under the name Panulirus argus (Caribbean spiny lobster). RNAcentral's name for it is "tRNA-Gln". Lineage: Eukaryota; Metazoa; Arthropoda; Malacostraca; Decapoda; Palinuridae. The record is from RNAcentral.